This 653-nucleotide ribosomal RNA is filed under the name uncultured beta proteobacterium. Its description in RNAcentral is "bacterial SSU rRNA". It matches the Rfam family "Bacterial small subunit ribosomal RNA", at positions 772 to 1429 of the family's 1533-position model. The record is from RNAcentral. Lineage: Bacteria; Pseudomonadati; Pseudomonadota; Betaproteobacteria.
ACAGGAUUAGAUACCCUGGUAGUCCACGCCCUAAACGAUGCUGACUAGUUGUUCGGGAUUUACAUCCUGAGUAACGUAGCUAACGCGUGAAGUCAGCCGCCUGGGGAGUACGGUCGCAAGAUUAAAACUCAAAGGAAUUGACGGGGACCCGCACAAGCGGUGGAUGAUGUGGAUUAAUUCGAUGCAACGCGAAAAACCUUACCUACCCUUGACAUGUCACUAACGAAGUAGAGAUACAUUAGGUGCCCGUAAGGGAAAGUGAACACAGGUGCUGCAUGGCCGUCGUCAGCUCGUGUCGUGAGAUGUUGGGUUAAGUCCCGCAACGAGCGCAACCCUUGUCUUUAGUUGCUACGCAAGAGCACUCUAAAGAGACUGCCGGUGACAAACCGGAGGAAGGUGGGGAUGACGUCAAGUCCUCAUGGCCCUUAUGGGUAGGGCUUCACACGUCAUACAAUGGUGCAUACAGAGGGUUGCCAACCCGCGAGGGGGAGCUAAUCUCAGGAAAUGCAUCGUAGUCCGGAUCGUAGUCUGCAACUCGACUACGUGAAGCUGGAAUCGCUAGUAAUCGCGGAUCAGAAUGUCGCGGUGAAUACGUUCCCGGGUCUUGUACACACCGCCCGUCAUACCAUGGGAGUGGGUUUUGCCAGAAGCCG